This is a long non-coding RNA of Myiozetetes cayanensis, 150 nucleotides long. RefSeq lists it as uncharacterized. NCBI's taxonomy places the organism in Eukaryota, Metazoa, Chordata, Aves, Passeriformes, Tyrannidae. The transcript is spliced from 3 exons. The record is from RefSeq and is a predicted model, not a curated record.
GACAGGUGUGACAGGUGAGGUAGGACAGGUGAGGGGUCUCAGGGGUCUCACCAAGCCUGCUGUCCCUCACAAAGCUCUGGAUGAUGGCAGGGGAGGGGCACAGGUGUGACAGGUGAGGUAGGACAGGUGAGGUGUGACAGGUGUGACAGG